Molecule: ribosomal RNA, 253 nt
Filed under: uncultured microorganism
Description: partial 16S ribosomal RNA
Rfam family: Bacterial small subunit ribosomal RNA
Source: RNAcentral
UACGUAGGGGGCGAGCGUUGUCCGGAAUUACUGGGCGUAAAGCGCGCGUAGGUGGCUUGAUAAGCCGGUUGUGAAAGCCCCGGGCUCAACCUGGGAACGGCAUCCGGAACUGUCAGGCUAGAGUGCAGGAGAGGAAGGUAGAAUUCCCGGUGUAGCGGUGAAAUGCGUAGAGAUCGGGAGGAAUACCAGUGGCGAAGGCGGCCUUCUGGACUGACACUGACACUGAGGUGCGAAAGCGUGGGGAGCAAACAGG